GACGAACGCUGGCGGCGUGCCUAAUACAUGCAAGUAGAACGCUGAAGAGAGGAGCUUACUCUUCUUGGAUGAGUUGCGAACGGGUGAGUAACGCGUAGGUAACCUGCCUUGUAGCGGGGGAUAACUAUUGGAAACGAUAGCUAAUACCGCAUAACAAUGGAUGACACAUGUCAUUUAUUUGAAAGGGGCAAUUGCUCCACUACAAGAUGGACCUGCGUUGUAUUAGCUAGUAGGUGAGGUAAUGGCUCACCUAGGCGACGAUACAUAGCCGACCUGAGAGGGUGAUCGGCCACCCUGGGACUGAGACACGGCCCAGACUCCUACGGGAGGCAGCAGUAGGGAAUCUUCGGCAAUGGGGGCAACCCUGACCGAGCAACGCCGCGUGAGUGAAGAAGGUUUUCGGAUCGUAAAGCUCUGUUGUAAGUCAAGAACGGGUGUGAGAGUGGAAAGUUCACACUGUGACGGUAGCUUACCAGAAAGGGACGGCUAACUACGU
RNAcentral lists this ribosomal RNA (496 nucleotides) under uncultured bacterium. Its description in RNAcentral is "partial 16S ribosomal RNA". It matches the Rfam family "Bacterial small subunit ribosomal RNA", at positions 28 to 506 of the family's 1533-position model. The record is from RNAcentral.